Manis javanica (Malayan pangolin) is the source of this 426-nucleotide long non-coding RNA. RefSeq lists it as uncharacterized. NCBI's taxonomy places the organism in Eukaryota, Metazoa, Chordata, Mammalia, Pholidota, Manidae. The record is from RefSeq and is a predicted model, not a curated record.
GCGGGGAGGAGACAUUAAGAAACUGCGGAGGGAGGAGAGCGCAGAAGGAGGGGCCUACGGGUGGAAGGAGAGGCCAAAUCUUCAGCGGCUUAGAGCGUCUGCUAAGGAACAGAAAACGAAGUAAAAUUUGCUGGAUGGGGGCCAGGGCUCCGGGCCUAGUGAGCAGCCGGCAGGCAGGGGGGCGUGGAUUCCCUUUACUUCGAUCGGACUAUGCCAAGAAGGCACCCCUUCUCGCUUCGGGAAUGGCGCGGUCCAACCGCGUCAAUCUGUCGCGGUUAGCGGAGCGGCUAGAGGCUGCGGUUCUGCCUCCGAGGUCAUCAGCUGUCUGGACAGCGUUUGUCCUCCAGCCUCCCGACGUCGAUCCUCCAGAAAGGGGCUGGACAGGGCCAGGUUGAGAGAGAUAUCAAAUAUUACACAGUAUCGCUU